GAUGAAGAACGUAGCGAAAUGCGAUACUUGGUGUGAAUUGCAGAAUCCCGUGAACCAUCGAGUCUUUGAACGCAAGUUGCGCCCGAAGCCACUAGGCCGAGGGCACGCCUGCCUGGGCGUCACACGUCGUUGCCCCCCCAUCUACUCCUUCGGGAUUGCGGGGGGCGGAUGAUGGCCUCUCGUGCGCCUCGUCGCGCGGUUGGCCUAAAUGCCAAGUCCUCGGCGACGCACGCCACGACAAUCGGUGGUUGCGAAACCUCGGUUGCCUGUCGUGUGCGGUCGUCGCGCAUCGAGGGCUCGAAAAAAUUGCCGGGCUUCGGCUCGACUUUCAACGCGACCCCAGGUCAGGCGGGGUUACCCGCUGAAUUUAAGCAUAUCAAUAAGCGGAGGA
Molecule: unclassified non-coding RNA, 391 nt
Filed under: soil metagenome
Description: partial contains 5.8S ribosomal RNA, internal transcribed spacer 2, and large subunit ribosomal RNA
Rfam family: 5.8S ribosomal RNA (bases 1-122)
Source: RNAcentral